AGAGUUUGAUCCUGGCUCAGAUUGAACGCAGGCGGCAGGCCUAACACAUGCAAGUCGAGCGGCAGCAGCUCCUUCGGGAGGCUGGCGAGCGGCGGACGGGUGAGUAACGCAUGGGAACUUACCCAGUAGUGGGGGAUAGCCCGGGGAAACCCGGAUUAAUACCGCAUACGCCCUGAGGGGGAAAGCGGGCUCCGGCUCGCGCUAUUGGAUGGGCCCAUGUCGGAUUAGUUAGUUGGUGGGGUAACGGCCUACCAAGGCGACGAUCCGUAGCUGGUCUGAGAGGAUGAUCAGCCACACCGGGACUGAGACACGGCCCGGACUCCUACGGGAGGCAGCAGUGGGGAAUAUUGGACAAUGGGGGCAACCCUGAUCCAGCCAUGCCGCGUGUGUGAAGAAGGCCCUAGGGUUGUAAAGCACUUUCAGCAGGGAGGAAAAGCUGUCGGUUAAUACCCGCCAGUGUUGACGUUACCUGCAGAAGAAGCACCGGCUAACUCCGUGCCAGCAGCCGCGGUAAUACGGAGGGUGCAAGCGUUAAUCGGAAUUACUGGGCGUAAAGGGCGCGUAGGCGGUUUGGUAAGCGAGUUGUGAAAGCCCCGGGCUCAACCUGGGAAUGGAAUUCGAACUGCCAAGCUAGAGCGCAGCAGAGGCAGUGGAAUUCCCGGUGUAGCGGUGAAAUGCGUAGAUAUCGGAGAACACAGUGGCGAAGCGACUGCUGGGUGAACUGACCUGAGUGGAAGGGGGUAGCAAAGAUAAUACCUGACCCU
Molecule: ribosomal RNA, 764 nt
Filed under: uncultured Pseudomonas sp.
Lineage: Bacteria; Pseudomonadati; Pseudomonadota; Gammaproteobacteria; Pseudomonadales; Pseudomonadaceae
Description: bacterial SSU rRNA
Rfam family: Bacterial small subunit ribosomal RNA
Source: RNAcentral